UUUUGGACAAUGGGGGCAACCCUGAUCCAGCAAUGCCGCGUGAGUGAAGAAGGCCUUCGGGUUGUAAAGCUCUUUUGUCAGGGAAGAAACACCGGCUCUAACACAGUCCGGGAAUGACGGUACCUGAAGAAUAAGCACCGGCUAACUACGUGCCAGCAGCCGCGGUAAUACGUAGGGUGCAAGCGUUAAUCGGAAUUACUGGGCGUAAAGCGUGCGCAGGCGGUUAUACAAGACAGGCGUGAAAUCCCCGGGCUUAACCUGGGAAUGGCGCCUGUGACUGUAUAGCUAGAGUGUGUCAGAGGGGGGUAGAAUUCCACGUGUAGCAGUGAAAUGCGUAGAUAUGUGGAGGAAUACCAAUGGCGAAGGCAGCCCCCUGGGGUAACACUGACGCUCAUGCACGAA
Molecule: ribosomal RNA, 402 nt
Filed under: uncultured bacterium
Lineage: Bacteria
Description: bacterial SSU rRNA
Rfam family: Bacterial small subunit ribosomal RNA
Source: RNAcentral